CGACCGGCGCACGGGUGCGUAACGCGUAUGCAACCUACCUUUAACAGGGGGAUAACACUGAGAAAUUGGUACUAAUACCCCAUAAUAUCAUAGAAAGCAUCUUUUAUGGUUGAAAAUUCCGAUGGUUAGAGAUGGGCAUGCGUUGUAUUAGCUAGUUGGUGGGGUAACGGCUCACCAAGGCGACGAUACAUAGGGGGACUGAGAGGAAGGUCCCCCACAUUGGAACUGAGACACGGUCCAA
This 241-nucleotide ribosomal RNA is filed under the name uncultured bacterium. RNAcentral's name for it is "partial 16S ribosomal RNA". It matches the Rfam family "Bacterial small subunit ribosomal RNA", at positions 92 to 334 of the family's 1533-position model. The record is from RNAcentral.